RNA transcript from Oxyura jamaicensis (ruddy duck), 2537 nucleotides. It is a transcript of the gene named OX-2 membrane glycoprotein-like, with no coding region annotated. The record is from RefSeq and is a predicted model, not a curated record. NCBI's taxonomy places the organism in Eukaryota, Metazoa, Chordata, Aves, Anseriformes, Anatidae. The transcript has 8 exons.
UCUUCUAGAUCAAGCAUGGUGCUGGAGCUGUUGUCUCCAAGAAUGGUUGUAUUCAGCUGGAAGAGCCACUGCCUGACCAUACAUAUCUCUCUUAAAGAAGUGGUUUCCAUUUUAUGUGGGCUCUUGACCACUACAUGGGCAUCUCUGUCAAGAUAUUUUGCUUACUGCCGUCGCAGCCAGCAGCGGCCCCAGAGGAGGGGGAGGCAGGGGGCGAGCCCCCGGUGGGUCCGGAGGGCGCUGCCCGCCCCCGUUACGGGCCUUUUGGUGGGGGGGCCGCCCCGCCCUGCUCCGCCCCGUUCUACAGCGGGGCGCUGCCAGUGUCGCGGCCGCUGUCACCGUCUUUGUCGCGGACACUGUCGGCCCCCGAGGGUGCGGAGCGUGAAGCAGAUGCUCCCUUCCAAAAUGACUUUCCAAGCCCUGUUUCUGAGUCUAUUUUGUGUUGUGCUCGGAAAGGCAAAUGUGAUUACUCAGACUGAACACAUGAAGGUGAAUGAGGGCGACAUCGCGACUCUCAGUUGUACCCUGACAGAGCCUGAGGAUGUUCUGCAAGUGACCUGGCAGAAGGACUCUGAAAAAACACACAAUAAUAUAGCUACGUACAGCACCCUGAAAGGAUUAAAGAUCCAUGAGCCCUACCAAGACCGGAUGAAUUUCACAAGUCUGGUACUCAAUGACACGAGCAUCACUUUCUGGGCAGCGAGACUGGAUGAUACAGGGUGUUACACGUGCCUCUUCAACGUCUUCCCUCGUGGUUCCUUGUCGGGACGGACCUGCCUGAGUGUCUUUGGUCUCAGUGCAUCUGUCCACUAUAACAUUUCCGAAGGUCAUUUGAUAGCCAUCUGUAACGCUGUUGGCCUCCCAGAGCCCACCAUCAGCUGGAACAACCUGUUCAAUUACACCCCGACACAGGAGAGGGUCAGGCACACCAACGGGGUAGUGUCUGUCACCAGUAAACUGGAGAUCUCUGACUCUCAGAGCAUCAGUAAGCAGGACUUGAUCUGCAGAGUAAGCAACAAGAAUGAAGAAAUGGAAUUGCCCGUAAAAAUCAAAAAAGAAGAGGGAUUCUCAUUCCUGGGUCUGAUGAUUGCUCUGGGUAUUUUACUUGUCAUCUUGGUCCUGAUUCUGAUCACUCUGAGGUGGAGGAAGAGGAUAUGCAAGAGGACCUAUGGCGGAAAAAAGUUCCCAGGGCCUUCUCUGCUAGUGAAAGAUGCUGCAGUGCUAAUUCUGAUACCAGGUAUCCUCUUGCCAACAGACCAACGCUUCAAAAUUCUUCAGAGGAGGAAAAAAUGAAGCCACCUGAAACAGUUAAAAUUUCUCCCUGUGAAUUUAUCAGCUUGUACGGCUCAAUAGAAAUCUACACUUCAGCAAGGGCUGCACCACUGGAAGAUUUUUGCAGAGAAAUGUGAUGUCCUCAGGAUUUCAGGGUGAGUUUUUGCUCUGCUUUUGUUCACUUCCAUUCUGAAUUUGUUUCUUGGCACCCUAUCCCUUAAUGUGAGAUCAGCCAGAGUACUUUCACAGUUUUGUCUUGUCUCCGUCUUGUCUUUUUUUUCUCUUUCAUAGACUUAGAGCUCUGAAGCCCCUCCAAGAAAGAAGAAACACCACCCUGGAAGAUGAGAGCCUUGCGUGGGCACCGAAAGCUGUUUCUAGUCAACCUUUGCUUCAUUGAGAAGAGUGCAGAGUGAAAGCUGAGCAUGUGAUUCACUAUCAGAGGGAAGGUUUUUGUCUCGGUGGUGGUGGUGGUGGCUGAGCUGCAGCAAAUGGCACAGCACUGGUGUUGAGUGGAGUCCUAGAAAAACUACGCACAGAUACAUGUAAGUAAUGCAUAUGAAUUGGCUCAUCUAGAAAAUCUCACUUUAAAAGAGAGAUUGUUUAUCUGUGAAUAAAGGUCACUUGAUGAAAACCUAGAUGCCACAGCACUAGCUUAAGGCAGCAAAGUGCUACUCUUGAGUUGAUGCAAAAUGAUCACUCUCAGGUUCUCAGCUUGCUGACGCAUAUUCUAUACUCCAAACUUGGACAGUUGACCAAGCAAGUUUCCUCUCAACACAAAGACUAAAAUCAAUGACACAAAACAUGUAUAACUACAUGGGUUCAUUAUAACAUGAAGUCCUCUGUCUCACAGGCCAAGAUUCAUAGCAGUUAAAAGAUCAGUCUCUUAAUGAUGUUUCCAAUAUUGAUUUUCCAUUUCUUUAUCUAUGUUACAGUAACUAUGGCAGCAGUAUUCUAUUUGUGGAUCCCUGGAGAUGUGUGUGUACAUUGGGAAGGGAGAAAGUGGAAUCGGACUUUGAAGCUGGGGUUCAGGCUAGGUAGUAAACUACAGUGGUUAGGAAUGUAGAGGAAUAGUAAGAUCACUUGUGUGAAACUAAAAGGGUAUGAGUGCAGUUGAUUCACAUGGAUGACAUACCUCUGGCCUGUGUGGAUGGAAACCAUCCAGCCUCUGGGCUUACUUGGUUCCUAGGCAUUUCCUUUUCAUUAGGUGAGCAGGAACUGCACAUGAGCAGGCCUGCCUCUGGUGUAGUUUUUUUUGUUUGUUUUCUUUU